This is an RNA transcript of Pteropus alecto (black flying fox), 7706 nucleotides long. It is a transcript of the gene named F-box protein 4, with no coding region annotated. The transcript has 8 exons. The record is from RefSeq and is a predicted model, not a curated record. NCBI's taxonomy places the organism in Eukaryota, Metazoa, Chordata, Mammalia, Chiroptera, Pteropodidae.
CGGACGCGUCGGCGUGACCGUGCGGCACGUCACGUGCGGCGCCAGCGGCCAUGGCGGGAAGCGAACCACGCAGCGGAGGCGUCUCCCCUCAGCCGCACCACAGCGACUGGGGCCGCUUGGAGGCGGCCAUCCUCAGCGGCUGGAGGAACUUCUGGCAGUCGGUGGGCAAGGAGCGGGCAGCGCGGAGCACGUCCCGAGAGGAGGCGGAUGAAGAGGCCAGUACUCUAACACGGCUGCCGAUUGACGUACAGCUGUACAUUUUGUCAUUUCUUUCACCUCACGAUCUGUGUCAGUUGGGAAGUACAAGUCAUUAUUGGAAUGAAACUGUACGAGAUCCAAUUCUAUGGAGAUAUUUUUUGUUGCGGGAUCUUCCUUCUUGGUCUUCUGUUGACUGGAAGUCUCUUCCUGAUCUAGAAAUCUUAAAAAAGCCUAUAUCUGAGGUCACCGAUGGUACAUCUUUUGACUACAUGGCAGUCUAUAAAAUGUGCUGUCCAUACACAAGAAGAUCCUUGAAAUCUAGCCGUCCUAUGUAUGGAGCUGUCACCUCAUUUUUACACUCAUUGAUCAUCCAGAAUGAACCACGAUUUGCUAUGUUUGGACCAGGUUUGGAAGAAUUGAAUACAUCUUUGGUGUUGAGCUUGAUGUCUUCAGAGGAACUUUGCCCGACAGCUGGUUUGCCUCAGAGGCAGAUUGAUGGUAUUGGAUCAGGAGUCAGUUUUCAGUUGAACAACCAACAUAAAUUCAACAUUCUGAUAUUAUAUUCAACUACCAGAAAGGAAAGAGAUAGAGCAAGAGAAGAGCAUACAAGUGCAGUUAACAAGAUGUUUAGUCUACAGAAUGAAGGGGAUGAUCAACAAGGAAGCCGGUACAGUGUAAUUCCACAAAUUCAGAAGGUGUGUGAAGUUGUUGAUGGGUUCAUCUAUGUUGCAAAUGCUGAAGCUCAUAAAAGACAUGAAUGGCAAGAUGAAUUUUCUCAUAUUAUGGCAAUGACAGAUCCAGCUUUUGGAUCUUCAGGAAGACCAAUGUUGGUUUUAUCUUGUAUUUCUCAAGCAAAUGUAAAAAGAAUGCCCUGUUUUUAUUUGGCGCAUGAGCUACGUCUGAAUCAUCUAAACCACCCAUGGAUGGUUCAGGAUACAGAGGCUGAAACUCUAACUGGUUUUUUGAAUGGCAUUCAGUGGAUUCUUGAAGAAGUAGAAUCUAAGCAUGCAAGAUGAUCAUUUUAGACCUUGGGAACUGAAAAACCAUUUGAAACUUGUUACUAAGGCCAUGAUGUGGAUAUUUGCUCACUCAGCUCAUUUUGUCCUGCUCUUUUGCAGCUGGAACAUUGGUCUUCUCCAGCCUUCAGACUUGGACUUGGACUGGAACUAUACCAUUGGCUUUCCUAGGUCUUCAGCAGAUUCCUGGGUCUUGACUACAGAUCUUUGGACUUCCAAGUCUUCAUAAUCACGUGAGCCAAUUUCAUACAAUAAGUCAUAUAUCGUAAGAUAUAUUAUAUCAAUUGGAUAUUUUAUAUGUACAUAUCCACUUGUUUCUGUUUCUCUGGAGAACCCAGGCUAAUAUAGCAUGUUGCUGCAUACAAAGCAACUGUUUGAAAUAACCAUAUUAAUAUUUUAAUGAACAAUUUAGUCAUUUUACAUUUUAACAUGACAGCUUGUUACUUAUAUAUGUAGGUAUUUUACUGUGAAUUAGUUAUGUUUUAGGAAAUUGGUUGAGGUUUUGAAUUGAUACAUAAAACAGUAUAAUUUUCCUUAUUUAAAAUAUUGAGAAAUACAUUCUAAAUUAGCAUUUAUUUUUAAAAUGUCUGAUUACAAAUAUAGAUUUCUGAUUUUAAGUGGAAAAUGCUAUACCUAAAAUGGAAAGGCUGGGUCAUAUAUUGUGUGUAUCUUAAACUUGGCUAGAUAAUGCCAAAUUUUUUUACAAAGGUGUGGUUCAAAUAUUUUCGUUAGGAUUUGUGAGAAUUCUGUUGCUUACAUCCUCACUGAUAUGGUAACUAAAUAACCCAAUUUUUGAAGAAAGGUGCUGUUUUACAGAAAAAUGCCAGUUAUAAAACAUAGAAGGAUUGUAGAAUUAGAAAAAAAAAAUUUCACAGACCCAAAUUAUAUUUAUAGAUUAAGGGAAGGGAUUAUUAAUUGGUGUCAAAAUCAUUAAGUAAAUGGUUGAUUGGAAACUGGCCAUUGGUUAAUUGCUAAAAGAAAACCUCACACAUUAUUUUUAAUCACAAGAGUGAAAACCUUAUUUGUGUACUGGAGGGAAAAACAAAAUAACUUAGUAUAAGAAUCAAUCAACUGUAACCUCAUCUAUGGUUGUUAAUUAGAUAUUAUGUGCUUUUUGAUAUAAUGCUACAUUAAGUAUACACCACUGUCUAUGAAUUAUUCUAGGCAAAAAUAUUUAAAUUGGAUUUAUUAAACCUCUAAUAUAAUGUGCAAUUUGUAAGAAAUGCAGGAUAUAGACUAACAAGUUAAAUGAUAGAAUAGCAAAGAAACCAGACAAAUCCAGGGGUAUUCUGCAGAAGAUAAUUGGACUAGGUUUUUUAAAAAGUCAUCCUGAAAAAGAAAUUGUGAUUGAUUACAAGAAACUUAAGGGACAUAAAAUCCAGAUUUAAGUUUGAUCCUACAUUUGACAUUUGAAUGAAAAUACCACCUGUAUGUGAUAUUUUUUGAUCAAGUGAGAACUUUGAAUAUUGUCUUAGUAUUAAGACCUGGAAAUACAGAAAUUAGGUAAUUAGUAGUGGUGGCUCCGCUGGUGAAGGGUUGAUUUAAUUAUGUUUUUCUAAUUUUUUACAAUGCAUAUUCUGCUUCUGUAAUAAUUUUUAAAGAUCACAAACUAGAAAAAAGGUUACUCAACCUAAUGGAUUAGUUUUUAUAAUUGAUUAAUUUUUAAUGGAGUAUGUUCCUGAUAAAAAUUAAGAUAUAAAAGAUAAGUAUGUUCUGCCUAAUAAUAAUUCUAUGCAUGACUAGCAUUUUAUAUGCUAGAUAAUCUCCUGGAAAUAAUAAUUGCUUUGGUUAUUAUUGAAAAGACUACUCCAUAGGGUUACAAUUCAUCUAAUGUUUUCUUCUUCCCCCUUAAUUAUGUGCAUUUUAAUAUGGAUCUUAAAAUAGGUAGAAUGUGUUUUUCUCUAUUCUUCCAGCAUUAUAGUUUUGGUUCCAACAUUUUUAUUUCUGUUAUAUUCAAUUUAUUAAAACAGAAACAAAUUGAUUAAAAUAAAUUAUGAAGGGUUUAUGUAUAGAUGGCCAUCUAUAAUUAUGAAUAGUUAUUAUGCUCCCAUUUACGCACAAACACACACACACACACACACACACACACACACAUAUGUGUAUUUUUAAAAAUAUUCACCUCUUCUUUCUCAUACUAUAUCUUGAAAGCCUGGAUUAUAACCUGUCAGUUUUAUAGCAUCUUUACAUUAAAAUACUUUUGUUGAUUGAUUUAAUCACAAAAACAAAGAUCAGACAAUUUUGGUGCAUGAAUCAACUGAAUAAGUGGACAGUAGCACUGUUGACAUUUUUGUUUAAUAAUUCUUUCUUGUGCAGGCCUCUCCUGUGCAUUGUAGGAUGUUUAACAGUAUCCUUGGUCUCUACCUACUAGAUUCCAGUAGCACACAUAUUCUAGUUGUGACAAUCAAAGAUGUCUCCAGACAUUGCCAAAUGUCCUCUGAGGGGCAAAUACUCCCCAUUGGAGAACCAUUGAAUUAGUGCCUCUAAUCAUACUGACUGAUUAGUCUGCUUAUGUGUUUAUUAGUCCAUCUUAGACAAUUCAAUAGUGCUGUUAUUGAGAAAACUUACACUAAUCAUUGAGUGUUUGGGGUUUAUAUAAGAGGGGUAUCUACCUAGUAAAGAUGAGUAGGGGAGAGGAAUCAUGGAAUGCCUACAUGGAGCCUGGAGCUGAAGUUUGAAGGACAAGAGGGGUUAACCAGGCAGAGGACUAUAGGAACAUGGAGGAAGGAAAGUCACUUUGCAGGGAUAAUGAGGAGUGGGCCUCCAUAGACCAUUGUCAAGGAAGGCUUCUCAGGGAUGUUUGAGCUAUGUCAAACAGGAGAUUGUCAUGUGGACAAAGGUAUAUGUAGGAUGGUGUUGGAAAAGUUCUUCAAUUUUAGUUUCAAAUUGAGGUCAGUAACUCUGCCAAGAGUCCUUUUGAGACAUGGUAUAAUUAGUCUUAUGAAAUAAAAACAACAACAACAACGAUUGCAUAUGCCAAUAGUAAUUUCUUUGUACUGUAGACGGUCAUCAUAUUUUUUAAAUUACAUAUUUAAGAAAAUUAUAGAACUCAAAAAGGUUGCAGCAACAAAUACAUGAGAAUAUUCAUUGCAGCUUUAAUUUCUAAAUUUUGAGAAUUUUCCAGAUAUGUUUCUCUUAUUGAUUUCCAGUUUAAUUCUAUUAUGGUCUAAAGACAUACUUUGUAAGAUUUUUAUUCUUUUAAAUUUACCAAAGUUUGUUUUAUGGCCCAGAAUAUAGUCUAUCUUGUUAAAUGUUCCAUUUGUACUUGAAAGAAAUGCUUAUUUAGAUGUUGUAUGGAGUGUCCUAUAAAUGUCAAUAAUAGAACAUUAUAUUGACAGAUUGGUUGAUGAUGUUGAUUAUUUCUCCUAUAUCUCUGCCAAUUUCCUGUCUACUUGUUCUAGCAAUUAUUGAGAGGCAUGGUGAAGUGUCAAACUAUAAUCGCAGAUUUAUCUAUUUCUCCUUUCAGCAUUCUUUUUGUUUUACGUAUUUUGAGGUUAUGUUGAGGUUAGGUGUGUACACGUUUAGAAUACUUAGGUCUUCUUGGAGAACUGACCCAUUUAUUGUUAUGUAAUUUUCCUCUUAAACCUUGGUAAUAUUUCUUGUUCUAAAGUAACUUUAUGUGCUAUUAUUAUAACCACUCCAGCUUUCUUUCAUUGAUGUUUGCAAGGUUUAUUUUUUCCUAUUAGUUUUACUUUUAACCUAUCUGUGGUUUUAUAUAAAUGGAGUUCAUUAUAAAUAGCAUAUACUUUUUUAAAAAAUCCAAUCUGGCAAUCCCUGUUUUUAAUUGUUAUGUCUAGAUUAUUCACAUUUUGUCAUUUUUGAUAUGGUUGGAUUAAAAUCUACAAUCUUGCUUUCUAUUUCUUCCAUCUAUUCUUCAUUUCUUUUAACCUCUUUUACUGUCUCCUCUUUGGUUAAUUUGGCAUUUUUCUUAUGAUUCCAUUUUAUCUUCACUAUUGACUUAUUAUUUAUACUUAAAUUUUUUUUUAAUAUUUUCCCUAGAGUUUACAAUGUAUAUCUUCAGUUAACCAGAGUUUGCCUUUAAAUAAUAUUCUGUUUCAUGUGUAGAGUUUGUUUUUCUUUAUACAGUACUGACUUUGAAAGAGUAUAUAAUCAUACCUACUACUAAUUACAUUAUUAAAAAUUCUGAAAACUAUACACUUUCGACUGUGGCUAGCAAAUGCUUAACAACUGCCUCAGGGGAAAAAAAGAGCCCUAUUUUGUAGUGUUUGAUGAUUUCUGUGGCUUAACCAUUUCAACCAUGACCAAUUUCAGGCUACCACUGUGACAUCACUGAAUGUGGACUUAGGAAAAAAAACCACUGCACUGAGUCAGUGCAAGCAGGUUCUGGCACACACUGCUUAGCCCAGAACAUCCCUGAUGUUUCUAAGCCAUUUUUUUUUUAGUUCUUGGGUAAUAUAUGUAUUUCCAGGACCUACAACUUUAAAUUCUCAGGCUUUCCAAUAUCCAAGGAGUCUGCAGCUACAUGUUUCACCCUUUGCAAGUUUAUCUUCUCUUAUUGCUAAAGACUUCAAGUUCAUUACAAAUGAUCAUAUCCCCUUCAUAGGAUUUCUUCUGCUUUCAAAAAUACCAUUAGAGGCUUCUAUAUAUUAAUUUGUAUUAACAGGACCUGAAUCAAUCUAAAAGCAAAACAAAAGGAGAUGCAUCAGGCCAUUCUGCAGUUAAGUUCUUUGUGACAGAUAGCUAGCCCCAGGUCAGUUCCCCUAACCUUGAGGCUUAAAGCAGACAUAAUUUUGGGAAAGAAUCUGAGAAGUUUAGGGAGCAACCUUUGCAUGUUUUCUUACCAAGAGAAUGUGAAGCAUGGGUUUGAUAUAGGUUAGCCAGAGGUCUGUGUUGUAAAGAUCCAAAAAUAGCUGCUGUGGUGCUCACUACUAACCCAGUGUGAGUCAAGUGGUGACGAUGGCCUGACAAGAGGAGAUCAUAAGCUGUUAUUUACAACAGAAUUGGGGAAAUGGAACAAGUACUGAACAUUUGGUAUCCUCUGGGAGAGUCUGUUUUGACACAGCCUUAAGAGUAUUUCAAUUCCAAUGUCUCUCUACAGAACAGAGAGCCCAAGUCACUCAUGGUAACUUUUCUGUAACUUCAAAAAAAUUUUUCCAGGGGGUCUGUGUUGAAUAGAAAAAUUACAGAAGCUAUGCUAAAUAGUUUUGACUGAGAACUCAAAUUCUGAGACUAAGAAGGUUCAUAAAGAGGCUACAGUAUAUAUUCAGUUACAUUUUGAAUAAUAGUGAACUUUACUGAGCAAGCACAUAGGUUAGUACUUUCUUGUGUUAUCUUUUCUCCACAUUCCAGCAUGAAAAUAGUAAAAAGGUAUCGAAAGACUCUUGAAGCUAAUUCCUCAUUUCUUACUCCCUUUUCUUUAAACUCCAUAUAAUUCACGAUCACUAAUUUAUCAACAUUCUUCUAAAAAGAGAAAUUGGAACAUAAAACACUUCUUUAUGAUAAAUAAAAGCUUAUAGGCAGAAGUUAUAAAUCAUUCAAUUUUCCUUAGGGAUAGUUAUUCCAAAACAUUCCUUGGUGAAAUAUUAUUGCUAAUUAAUCACCUUUACAGCCAAGAAAUUCAGACUUCUUUUUGUCAAAUAUAUGAUUUUGUUUUUCCAUGAGCUAAAGAAUACUUACUUAGGUUUAUCCUAAUAAUAACAACUUAAAUAAGAACAUUUUAAGUUACACUAUAGCUAUGUCCCCAUUUUUUUUCUUUUAAGCCAUGUAUUUUUUCCCAGAGAUAAAAGGAAUAAAUAUUCAUUAUUUUGAAAAUUAGAAAAAUGUAGAUAAGACUUAAAAAUAAAACAGAAAAAUCAAUCAUAACCCAACACUCAGAACUACUAUUAACAUUCAUAGUAUUUUACCUGCAUCUUUUUGUGUACAUAAAUAUUUUUUAAAAUUGAAAUUAAAUUGUAUAUACAGUUUCAAAUAUUAACAUUUCUACCUAGUACAUAUAAAAGAGACUUUUCCUGUCCUAUAAAACAUUUUGACUCUAAUUAUUUUUUGCUGAGUCAUAUUCUAUGGAUGCUUCAAAUAUUCCAUCAAUAAAAUCCCCUUUCUUAUAACUUCAAAAUCCCUUUCCUAUAGUUCUUUAUAGUUUCAAAAUCCAAACAGCUGUGAAAAGAAAAGUGUUUUUGUAACUGAGCUGGCCUUAUCUAAUUUGGUAGCAAGAUUCACCUAAACUAAUGUGAGGCUAUUUAUCAUCUAUAUUUAUUCUGCUUAAAGUAAUAUAUAUCACAGCAGAAAUAUUAAUGGAUUAUGAGAUGUUCUCUUAUCCCUGAGGUAUAGUCAAUGCAUUCUAAAGUCCAAAAAAUGACGACUUUAAAAAAAUUCCUUUCCAAGGGCUUCAGAUCAGAGAUUAUGGAUUUGUUUUAGAUGUUUUGUUGCUUUCGUUAAUAAUAUUUCACUGAACAUUCAUAUGGUUACAUCUUUUAGAUACUUUGUAUUAUUUCUAUGGAGUUAUCCUUUACUAAAUAAAAAAAUGUACAAGCAUUA